This 3735-nucleotide long non-coding RNA is filed under the name Salmo salar (Atlantic salmon). RNAcentral's name for it is "lncRNA (ENSSSAG00000115258.1)". Lineage: Eukaryota; Metazoa; Chordata; Actinopteri; Salmoniformes; Salmonidae. The record is from RNAcentral.
CCCCGGAUAGUGGGAGUUAGAAUAUUAAAGCUUCCCAGGAUAGUGGGAGUUAGAAUAUUAAAGCUUCCCAGGAUAGUGGGAGUUAGAAUAUUAAAGCUUCCCAGGAUAGUGGGAGUCAGCUGUGAGAAUAUUACCCAGUUCACAUUUUAAGGUAAGAGACAAAAAACGUGUCUGUUAAUGUUAAAAAGAACAUCACUGGUUUACACUCACUCUAUGUCGGAAAAUGUUUCAUUGCCACCAGAGUGCAAAGUAGCCUAUUGUUGGGCUAAGUCUUGUUUAUUUAUUUUCAUGAAGAGGCUAAAACAGAAAGGCUAGCCAAUACCUAACGUACCUAAUCCGUAUAAUAACACAUGAAUAUGUAGGAUCAUAAUUAGGAAAUGCAAAAUCUUUCGUUUUUUAUUCAAAUAUGGACUGGAAUGAAAAAACAAUAUGUAGAAUAUAAAGGGUGAUAGACGUGAAAAUGUGAACUUCGGAGUGGUGUGGGCAAUCAAUUUAAUAGGUGCACACACCAAUAAAGCUUUCCCAUUUGUUUGACAUUGUCAAGACUACUGCUGUUUAGGCAUGCGGUUGCGCUUGCAGGGUUUGGUGUCAAGGUGUUUGUGAGUGAGUGUGAGCGGCCUGUGCAGAUCAAAUUUUGCUGCAUAUUUUGGAAAAUGAGCAUAAGUUCAUACACUUACUACUUCCACAUUUCUAGGAUAUUAGUAGUCCAUGAUGGGUGUUAGUAGUCCACGAGGGGUGUUAGUAGUCCAUGAUGGGUAUUAGUAGUCCACGAGGGGUGUUAGUAGUCCACGAGGGGUGUUAGUAGUCCAUGAUGGGUAUUAGUAGUCCACGAGGGGUAUUAGUAGUCCACGAUGGGUAUUAGUAGUCCACGAUGGAUAUUAGUAGUCCACGAGGGGUGCUAGUAGUCCACGAGGGGUGUUAGUAGUCCACGAUGGGUAUUAGUAGUCCACGAGGGGUGUUAGUAGUCCACGAGGGGUGUUAGUAGUCCAUGAUGGGUAUUACUAGUCCACGAGGGGUGCUAGUAGUCCACGAGGGGUGUUAGUAGUCCACGAGGGGUGCUAGUAGUCCACGAGGGGUAUUAGUAGUCCAUGAUGGGUAUUAGUAGUCCACGAGGGGUGCUAGUAGUCAUUGAUGGAUAUUAGUAGUCCACGAUGGGUGUUAGUAGUCCACGAGGGGUGUUAGUAGUCCAUGAUGGGUAUUAGUAGUCCACGAGGGGUAUUAGUAGUCCACGAGGGGUGUUAGUAGUCCACGAGGGGUGUUAGUAGUCCAUGAUGGGUGUUAGUAGUCCACGAUGGGUAUUAGUAGUCCACGAUGGAUAUUGGUAGUCCAUGAGGGGUGCUAGUAGUCCACGAUGGAUAUUAGUAGUCCACGAGGGGUGCUAGUAGUCCACGAGGGGUGUUAGUAGUCCAUGAUGGGUAUUAGUAGUCCACGAGGGGUGCUAGUAGUCCACGAGGGGUGUUAGUAGUCCACGAGGGGUGUUAGUAGUCCACGAGGGGUGUUAGUAGUCCACAAGGGGUGUUAGUAGUCCACGAGGGGUGCUAGUAGUCCACGAGGGGUGUUAGUAGUCCACGAGGGGUGUUAGUAGUCCACGAGGGGUGUUAGUAGUCCACGAGGGGUGUUAGUAGUCCACGAUGGAUAUUAGUAGUCCAUGAUGGGUAUUAGUAGUCCACGAGGGGUGCUAGUAGUCCAUGAUGGGUAUUAGUAGUCCACGAGGGGUGUUAGUAGUCCAUGAUGGGUGCUAGUAGUCCAUGAUGGGUAUUAGUAGUCCAUGAUGGGUGUUAGUAGCCCACGAUGGAUGUUAGUAGUCCACGAGGGGUGUUAGUAGUCCACGAGGGGUGCUAGUAGUCCAUGAUGGGUAUUAGUAGUCCACGAGGGGUGUUAGUAGUCCACGAGGGGUUCCACGAGGGGUGUUAGUAGUCCACGAGGGGUGUUAGUAGUCCACGAGGGGUGUUAGUAGUCCAUGAUGGAUAUUAGUAGUCCACGAGGGGUGUUAGUAGUCCACAAGGGGUGCUAGUAGUCCAUGAUGGACAUGAACCCAGCUAACAAUUCUAGGGAGAAAUAACGUUUUUAUAAUGUUCCCCGCAAUGUUCCCCUUUUGUUUGAGUGUCCAGUUCUCUGUUAGUUAGGGGAAAAUUCUAUCUAUGUUAACAGAAACCUUCUGAGAACCUUUAUAGAAUGUUUUGGUGUUACAAUUUGACAUGAACAUUCCCUUAAUGUAAAACAGAACUUAUCAAGAACAUGGUUACAAUGUUCUCAGAAUGUACAAUAUUUAUGUUCUAGAAACGUUUCAUGUGUAUCAGUUGUCGCCAUUCCCAAAGAAAUGUCUCCCCCCCAAAAAAUAAAAUUCAUUACACAUCACACCUUGUUACUGUUGCCACGCCCAUCAAGGCCCUGAUUGGCAAAGCACUGACGCAUUCAUAGCUCUUUGCCUGUCGGUUAGCGACACUCACACACAGUUCUUUUGACAUACAGUAUUUUCAACUGACAUAUUCGACAUACAUGAUUACAUUCUGCAUUUUUAUUUAUCCGAAAAUGAUUGUUCAACAUGUCCUCUCCUGGGAUUUGAAAUCACAACUGCUUGGUUUGCAGGACUCCGAUGUUCCUGCUACGCCACCAUGUCUGUGUAAGUUGUCAGUUCAUUUGACUGUAAUUACGCUGUGUGAUUAAGAACUUCCUGGACAUUGUGGAGAUGCAUAAUAUAUCUUAUUUACUUUUUAUUUCGAGAAUCAGCUUUAAUUUAAGGCCACUUGAAGUGCAAAUGCCGAACAAUUGUGGUAAAUCUCUGGUAAUGCUCCAAAGCCUCUUGGGACAGCUUUAUGUAGAGGCCCUAACAGCUUUAUGUAGAGGCCCUAACAGCUUUAUGUAGAGGCCCUAACAGCUUUAUGUAGAGACCCUAACAGCUUUAUGUAGAGGCCCUAACAGCUUUAUGUAGAGGCCCUAACAGCUUUAUGUAGAGGCCCUAACAGCUUUAUGUAGAGGCCCUAACAGCUUAAUGUAGAGGCCCUAACAGCUUUAUGUAGAGGCCCUAACAGCUUUAUGUAGAGGCCCUAACAGCUUUAUGUAGAGGCCCUAACAGCUUUAUGUAGAGGCCCUAACAGCUUUAUGGAGGCCCUAACAGCUUUAUGUAGAGCUAACAGCUUUAUGUAGAGGCCCUAACAGCUUUAUGUAGAGGCCCUAACAGCUUUAUGUAGAGACCCUAACAGCUUUAUGUAGAGGCCCUAACAGCUUUAUGUAGAGGCCCUAAAAGCUUUAUGUAGAGGCCCUAACAGCUUUAUGUAGAGGCCCUAACAGUUUUAUGUAGAGGCCCUAACAGCUUUAUGUAGAGGCCCUAACAGCUUUAUGUAGAGGCCCUAACAGCUUAAUGUAGAGGCCCUAACAGCUUUAUGUAGAGGCCCUAACAGCUUUAUGUAGAGGCCCUAACAGUUUGUCACCAUUAUAGUGUAAUUCAUGUAUUGUUUAGUGUUGUGUUGUGUAGUGGCUUUGCUGGCAUGCAUCUAAAACAUUUUUGGGGAGUUUGCCCCACCAAGAUUUACACUGAUUUAGCAUGUAUAUUAAACUAUGGUGAAUCGCUGUAUGGUAAUGUUUCAAUGCUGUAUGUCCCAUCAGUGCCACGUCUGUUUGGAGCCCCACCUGUUUAGCAAAACAAUAUAUAUGUUUUGCCUUUUUUUUAAUGUUAUUUUAUCACAUAUCAGUUUGCAAACAAUGUACAAAAAAAAAAGUUAAUAAAGACGUAUA